AGCAGCCGCGGUAAUUCCAGCUCCAAUAGCGUAUAUUAAAGUUGUUGCAGUUAAAAGCUCGUAGUUGAAUUUCGGGAUCAAUUUAUCGGUCGUGCCAAUGGUAUGAACUGGUACAAUUGGUUUCUCCCUUCUGACGAAGCAUGAUGUCAUUAAUUUGGUGUCGUGGGGAAUCAGGACUGUUACUUUAGAAAAAAUUAGGGUGUUUAAAGCAAGCAUUAGCUUGAAUACAUUAGCAUGGAAUAAUGAAAUAGGACGUUUGAUCCUAUUUCGUUGGUUUCUAGGAUCGACGUAAUGACUAAUAGGGAUAGUUGGGGGCAUUAGUAUUCAAUUGUCAGAGGUGAAAUUCUUGGAUUUAUUGAAGACUAACUACUGCGAAAGCAUUUGCCAAGGAUGUUUUCAUUAAUCAAGACGAAAGUUAGGGAUCGAAGACGAUACAGAUACCGUACGUAGUCUUAACCAUAAACUAUGACCGACUAGGGAUCGGAUGAUGUUUAAUUUUUAANGUACUCAUUCGGCUACC
RNAcentral lists this ribosomal RNA (520 nucleotides) under uncultured Glomus. Its description in RNAcentral is "SSU rRNA". It matches the Rfam family "Eukaryotic small subunit ribosomal RNA", at positions 569 to 1088 of the family's 1831-position model. Lineage: Eukaryota; Fungi; Glomeromycota; Glomeromycetes; Glomerales; Glomeraceae. The record is from RNAcentral.